GUGGAUGGGAACUCUGCCUUUAGAUUCAAUCUCGUCUUGGACAAAUUUAUGUGGUAAAUUCCAUGCUCGUUUUGGGAGAAAUAAGAGGAGAGGAAAACUUACUGGUUUGUUGGCUCAAGUUAGACAAUAUUCGAAUGAGUCUUUGGGCCAGUAUGUGAAGCGACUCAGAGAAGCGGUCGACCAAGUAACUGAUCUCAAUGAUCUUCAAGCUAUCGAGCAAUUUCAGAAUGGUUUAGACUUGGUGAAAUCAGAGAAGCUGGUGAAGAAGCUGAUGUUCACCACCCAGAGAGUUUAGAUGAAGCCUUUGAUAAAGCAGAGGGGUAUAUUGUGG
Molecule: long non-coding RNA, 331 nt
Filed under: Panax ginseng (ginseng)
Lineage: Eukaryota; Viridiplantae; Streptophyta; Magnoliopsida; Apiales; Araliaceae
Description: long non-coding RNA (PGIN_LNC011837)
Source: RNAcentral